GACGAACGCUGGCGGCGGGCUUAACACAUGCAAGUCGAACGGAAAGGCCCUGCUUUUGUGGGGUGCUGGAGGGGCGAACGGGUGAGGAACAGGUAUGUAACGGACCCUACAUUUUGGGGGAGCUUAAGGAAGGUGGGCUUACGCCAGUAUAGCAUCCCCUCUACGAGGGUGGGGGUGGGAAAUUUUGGGCGGGUGGGAUUGGAUGAGCGGCUGUUGGGCUUGUUGGUGGGGGAGGGGCUUACCAAGGCUUUGACGGGUAGCCGGCAUGAGAGCGUGAACGGCCACAUUGGGACUGCGAUACGGCCCAGACGGCUACGGGAGGCAGCAGUGGGGAGUCUUGCACAAUGGGCGGAAGUCUGAUGAAGCAACGCCGCGUGCGGGAUGACGGCCUGCUGGUUGUAAACCGCUUUCGGCUGUGACGAAGCGUGAGUGACGGUAAUGGGUGAAGAAGCACCGGCUAACUACGUG
Molecule: ribosomal RNA, 468 nt
Filed under: uncultured bacterium
Lineage: Bacteria
Description: partial 16S ribosomal RNA
Rfam family: Bacterial small subunit ribosomal RNA
Source: RNAcentral